RNAcentral lists this ribosomal RNA (253 nucleotides) under uncultured bacterium. Its description in RNAcentral is "partial 16S ribosomal RNA". It matches the Rfam family "Bacterial small subunit ribosomal RNA", at positions 524 to 776 of the family's 1533-position model. The record is from RNAcentral.
UACGGAGGGAGCUAGCGUUGUUCGGAAUUACUGGGCGUAAAGCGCGCGUAGGCGGCUUUGUAAGUUAGAGGUGAAAGCCCGGGGCUCAACCCCGGAACUGCCUUUAAGACUGCAUCGCUUGAAUCCAGGAGAGGUGAGUGGAAUUCCCAGUGUAGAGGUGAAAUUCGUAGAUAUUGGGAAGAACACCGGUGGCGAAGGCGGCUCACUGGCUCAUUACUGACGCUCAGGCGCGAUAGCGUGGGGAGCAAACAGG